Gopherus evgoodei (Goodes thornscrub tortoise) is the source of this 533-nucleotide long non-coding RNA. RefSeq lists it as uncharacterized. NCBI's taxonomy places the organism in Eukaryota, Metazoa, Chordata, Testudines, Testudinidae. The transcript has 4 exons. The record is from RefSeq and is a predicted model, not a curated record.
GGUAUUUGCAGACACAGGAAGGGAGCAGCUGGAUGCGGUGGGUGCUGGGAAGAAGGAGACAGGAGAAGAAAACCCAGAGACUGGGGGCGGGGUUCUGGCACAGAGCAGAUUCUGCUGCUGCCUCCGUGUGACUCGGGGCCCGGGCUGAGCAGCUGCUGCUUCCCAGGGUCUGUGCAGGGGACAUCCCGGCAUUAAAGCUCUUUCCCUGCCAGGCCAGGCGGCCUGGGCCGUUCUCCAGGGGAACCAGCCUCCUGGAGCCCCGGACUCUGCCACCAUCAGCUCCAGGGCCAGAGACUCCAGACCUUCCAUUCUCCUGUUAAAGAAGCACCCCCCAGUGAUCCUCUGCCUGUGUGACUGGCCAGCAGGGGGCAGUGAUAACUUUCUAUCAUCAGGCACUGUGAGCUUAUACCAGAAUCCUGGCUCCAAGCACUUCCUGGCAUUCCCCGGCGAGGCCCAGUCACCGUGAUAACUUUCUAUCCACUUAUGAAACACGGCUGCAGAAUGAUGUCCAUGUUCCGCUCCAGCUCAUCCCA